RNAcentral lists this ribosomal RNA (498 nucleotides) under uncultured bacterium. RNAcentral describes it as "partial 16S ribosomal RNA". It matches the Rfam family "Bacterial small subunit ribosomal RNA", at positions 29 to 523 of the family's 1533-position model. The record is from RNAcentral.
AUUGAACGCUGGCGGCAUGCCUUACACAUGCAAGUCGAACGGUAACGCGGGGCAACCUGGCGACGAGCGGCGAACGGGUGAGUAAUGCAUCGGAACGUGCCCAGUAGUGGGGGAUAGCCCGGCGAAAGCCGGAUUAAUACCGCAUACGACCUACGGGUGAAAACGGGGGACCGUAAGGCCCCGCGCUAUUGGUGCGGCCGAUAUCAGAUUAGGUUGUUGGUGGGGUAAAGGCCUACCAAGCCGACCACCUGUAGCUGGUCUGAGAGGACGACCAGCCACACUGGGACUGAGACACGGCCCAGACUCCUACGGGAGGCAGCAGUGGGGAAUUUUGGACAAUGGGGGCAACCCUGAUCCAGCCAUGCCGCGUGCGGGAAGAAGGCCUUCGGGUUGUAAACCGCUUUUGUCAGGGAAGAAACGCUCUGGGCUAAUACCCUGGGGUAAUGACGGUACCUGAAGAAUAAGCACCGGCUAACUACGUGCCAGCAGCCGCCGUAA